Molecule: ribosomal RNA, 465 nt
Filed under: uncultured bacterium
Lineage: Bacteria
Description: partial 16S ribosomal RNA
Rfam family: Bacterial small subunit ribosomal RNA
Source: RNAcentral
GAUGAACGCUGGCGGCGUGCUUAACACAUGCAAGUCGAACGGAAAGGCUCCUGCUUGCAGGGGUACUCGAGUGGCGAACGGGUGAGUAACACGUGGGUGAUCUGCCCUGCACUUCGGGAUAAGCCUGGGAAACUGGGUCUAAUACCGGAUAGGACGAUGGUCUGGAUGCCAUUGUGGAAAGUUUUUCGGUGUGGGAUGAGCUCGCGGCCUAUCAGCUUGUUGGUGGGGUAAUGGCCUACCAAGGCGUCGACGGGUAGCCGGCCUGAGAGGGUGUACGGCCACAUUGGGACUGGGAUACGGCCCAGACUCCUACGGGAGGCAGCAGUGGGGAAUAUUGCACAAUGGGCGCAAGCCUGAUGCAGCGACGCCGCGUGGGGGAUGACGGCCUUCGGGUUGUAACCUCCUUUCGCUAGGGACGAAGCGCAAGUGACGGUACCUGGAGAAGAAGCACCGGCUAACUACGUG